CGACCCCAUAGGCUUGUACUU
RNAcentral lists this microRNA (21 nucleotides) under Ananas comosus (pineapple). RNAcentral's name for it is "microRNA s1015_c129a". Lineage: Eukaryota; Viridiplantae; Streptophyta; Magnoliopsida; Poales; Bromeliaceae. The record is from RNAcentral.